This 1173-nucleotide long non-coding RNA is filed under the name Eutrema salsugineum. RNAcentral describes it as "long non-coding RNA (ESAL_LNC001483)". Lineage: Eukaryota; Viridiplantae; Streptophyta; Magnoliopsida; Brassicales; Brassicaceae. The record is from RNAcentral.
CUGUGGAAAUUGUGUUUGUUGGACUGGUUAAAUUUAAGUUUCUAAACCAAACUUUUUCUCUGUAAACCGAAUAAUGACCAAAACUGAAAAAUAAUAAUAAGAAGAAAUAAAAAAAAUAGCAGAAUUCUCUCUCACACAAAUUUUCUCUUUCGUAACUUUUGCUUUCUCAGAUCUAUCUCUCACACCUUCUCAGAUCCACAGUUUUGUCUCUCUCUCACCUUCUCAAAUCCAUCUCUAUUUCUUCUCUUCCUUUGAUUUACCGCCUUAUCAGACCCCAACCUCCGAUUUAACGCCUUAUCGCCCACCACCGCCUCUGAAUCAUCCUCCCCCAAAUUGUAAGGCUCCUGUGGAUCUAAAACUAAAGGUAACGACGAUUCUAACUCUGAAGUCACUGUCUCCGGCGUCGAUGUGGCUGCUCUUAAUCCUACGCUGCAUGGUUUAUCUCCUCGCCUAUGAAACAAGUUAUAUGGACAAGUACACAAUAGUUUAUUAAUGGACAUGUACACAUAAGUUUUGUUCCGAAGAAAAAAUUGGGAGAUAAACGUUAGGUUUGUUGUGUUCACAAAUACACAUUAUUGAAGCUAUGUCCUCGUGAACACGUCCAUUCUAGUAUCAAUAGAUACCAAUGAUCUCAUCUUCGCUUAAUAUGAAAACAAAUAGAAAAAAAAUAUCCAAUAUGUCCAUGUCCAUAUAGAUAUAACCAUAUUUUAUUAAAUGCUUAAAAUGUAUCACGUUUGGAAACGUGGAUGCGUCCAUGUUGAAAUGUCGUCGUCACCAACGUCGCCGACGGUGAUGAAGAAGUUGUGCCCAAUCAGCAGAAAGGCAGAGGAGAAAGAAGAUGAGCCAGGCUUUGUGGAAAAGGUACUCUGUGGUGCUAUCAGCGCGAGACAGAGAAAAAGAUGAAGAAGAUGGAGAUUGUGGUGGUGGUGGUGAAAAAUUUGAGGUCUCCAUUGAUGGAGAAAAAAAUGACUAUAUUUGUGAUAAGGGGGUGGAUAAGUCCAUCUUUACGUGGAUGGUUAGACUAUAUUCAAGUUACCAUUUGAAUUGAGAUGAUAUUGUGAACGUGACUAUAUUCAGACCAUAUUGUGGACGUGACUAUGUGACUAUAAAAAAUGAAUAUGGAUAUAGACAUAUUUAGUGGGGAGAGCAUAAAUAAUAAGUUUUAUUAUAGCC